This 76-nucleotide transfer RNA is filed under the name Salinibacterium sp. CAN_S4. RNAcentral describes it as "tRNA-Ser". The record is from RNAcentral. Lineage: Bacteria; Bacillati; Actinomycetota; Actinomycetes; Micrococcales; Microbacteriaceae.
GUCCCUGACGAGGAAUCAGGGACCCUGCUAAGGUGGAGUACCCUAACGGGUACCGAGGGUUCAAAUCCCUCCGUCU